AACACGGUAUCCCUCGACGGCGCCCAUGAGAACGACCUGGCAGGCCCAAAUGGCGAGGAUGCUCUGGGCAUGGACGAGGCUCGGGUUGCCGAGGUAGUCAAGGCCCCCCCUCAGUGAAGAUCUGAGAGCCGGCCUUGAACCAGACGGCCUCGCCGAACUGAACACCAUUGCGGGCGAGAAGCUCAGGGAAGACGCAACCGAGCGCGCCAAGCAUGGCCCAACGACAGUGGAUCACCUCAAGCUCGCGGUUCUUGGCAAAGGUCUCGGGGUCCGCUGAGAGCCCGGCGGUGUCCCACCCAUAGUCGCCGGGAAACUCACCGGUUAGGUAACUCGGGGGCUCGCCAGAGAGCGGGCCGAGGUACAGCACACGGUCGGAGCCGUACCACGGGCUGCUCGAGGAGAUUGGCUUGGCCUUGGCGGCGGUCUUGCGCAUGGUGCCCCGGCCUCACCGAAGAGAGUCGAUGACGGCAUGUUCUUCACCGUCUUGCCAGCGAAGGCCGAAGAAGAGAGAGACAUGGUAGUGGCUGCCAUUGCGCUAGCUCUUAAAACGGUGGUGGUCGAACUCUAUGCUUCUAAUAGUAUUCUGUGAGUGUGAAGGACUGAAGAUGGAUUCAGAAGGGAGGAGGAGGGAGCUACUUAAAGAAGUGAGAAGAGAAGACAGAGGGAAUUGAUCUGUGCUGGCAAGAGAGACACAGCCUGAGAAAUCUGAUGCCACCAUCUCAUUGGUGCAGCGGCCAUCCGGGUACAGUUGGCGCAGGGACAUCCUCAAGGGGAUGGGAUAUAGUCGUGGGUAGGGCUUGGGGAUUCUGCAUGUGCACUACAAUUUGUUGUACAACUAAUAAGUUAUUGAGUUUAAUCAGUUAUUGAGGAUUCUGCAUGUGCACUUACAAUUUGUUGUACAACUAAUAAGUGUUAAUUUGCUUCCUCCGAAGGUAAUAGUCAAAAGAAGUUUUUUGUUGGUAAACUGAUAGUAAACAUGCUCGAUCAACAUGUAUUGUCCACAUAUGGAGUUAAAAAUGAAUUAGCCAGUCGUGGGGCCAUAAUUUAGCCUUUGCUCAUGUACAUAGUAACUUUAUAUAAUCCGUGCUUUUAUAGUAUUGACCGUGACGGGGUGAAACCAGAUGGCACGAUCCACCUGUAAGAACAAAAGGAUUCGGGUUAAAAGCUUUAGUGGGAUCAUUAGUGACUGAACUUUUGCUAAAUGGGGUCAAAAAAGAAAUCACACUAAAUGAAACCAAAGCUGUAAGAAACAUAAAUUGAGGGGUCAAAAAAUAGAAUUCACUCUUUUAUGAACGUGUGAGGAAAGAAAUUAUUUCAUAAUUAAUGAAAAUAAAAGUCAGCGGAAUGGGGAACAUUGUUACGCGAGGUUAUUGGGUUUGAGUAAUUUAGAUGAUUGUUUUUAAUCUUUGCUUGUAUAAUAAAAACAUCAUUUUUAUUUUGGCGUGCAGAAAAGAUGACAGAUAGAUCUUGUGAUCACAGAUAUGAUGCUCUAAUUGUUGCCUCUGAGUUUCUGUAUUCUAUAUCCGGGAAGCAGCCCCAUGCGUGCCCUGCAAAAUUAGUAUGACUAAGAUUGUUAUUUUUGUAUAUACUUCCUUGUUAAUUGGGAUCUUUCUUAUCGACCAAAUCACCUAAUCCCAUCAAAAUUCUUUUAUGUCCUUUUCAUUGGCCUGGGUAUUUCUAGAUUUUGUAGUUAGUUCUGGAAUAUCCAUCCCUGAAAAAGGAAUGCGGUACACGUCAUUUUUACGGUAAGUUUGUUCACUUCCACGAGAGUAUGUAUUGCUCUGAUAAAACAUUGGGGGACAUCACAAAGUGUCUACUUCAAAAUCUGACAAUCUUUUGUUCAUAAGAUCCUCGUAAUUAAUUUACAUCAUCAUCGUGGUAGUACAAGUGAAACCAGCUACACACACUUGGUCGCGAGCAUAGUCGAUUUGCAUAUACACAUGUGCCUCUCAUUGACACCUUACUUGCCGGGAACGAAGUUGGUGGCAAAGGCCCACGCGUUGUUGUUGACGGGGUCGGCAAGGUGGUCAGCGAGGUUCUCAAGGGGACCCUUGCCGGUGACGAUGGCCUGAACGAAGAAGCCGAACAUGGAGAACAUGGCGAGGCGGCCGUUCUUGAUCUCCUUCACCUUGAGCUCAGCGAACGCCUCAGGGUCGUCAGCCAAGCCAAGGGGGUCGAAGCUGCCGCCGGGGUAGAGAGGGUCGACGAUCUCACCGAGCGGACCACCAGCAACACGGUACCCCUCGACGGCGCCCAUGAGCACGACCUGGCAAGCCCAGAUGGCGAGGAUGCUCUGGGCAUGGACGAGGCUCGGGUUGCCAAGGUAGUCGAGGCCGCCCUCGCUGAAGAUCUGGGAGCCGGCCUUGAACCAGACGGCCUCGCCAAACUUGACGCCGUUGCGGGCAAGCAGCUCGGGGAAGAC
RNAcentral lists this long non-coding RNA (2422 nucleotides) under Brachypodium distachyon (stiff brome). Its description in RNAcentral is "long non-coding RNA (BDIS_LNC001799)". Lineage: Eukaryota; Viridiplantae; Streptophyta; Magnoliopsida; Poales; Poaceae. The record is from RNAcentral.